RNAcentral lists this ribosomal RNA (494 nucleotides) under uncultured bacterium. RNAcentral describes it as "bacterial SSU rRNA". It matches the Rfam family "Bacterial small subunit ribosomal RNA", at positions 28 to 503 of the family's 1533-position model. The record is from RNAcentral.
GACGAACGCUGGCGGCGUGCCUAAUACAUGCAAGUCGAGCGAACCAAUUGAAAGCCUAGCUUUCAUGAGGUUAGCGGCGGACGGGUGAGUAACACGUGGGUAACCUGCCCUAUAGACUGGGAUAACUCGCGGAAACGCGUGCUAAUACCGGAUAACACAUCAAAGUGCAUGCUUUGAUGUUGAAAGAUGGUUCUGCUAUCACUAUAGGAUGGGCCCGCGGCGCAUUAGCUUGUUGGUGGGGUAACGGCCUACCAAGGCGACGAUGCGUAGCCGACCUGAGAGGGUGAUCGGCCACACUGGGACUGAGACACGGCCCAGACUCCUACGGGAGGCAGCAGUAGGGAAUCUUCCACAAUGGGCGAAAGCCUGAUGGAGCAACGCCGCGUGAGCGAAGAAGGUCUUCGGAUCGUAAAGCUCUGUUGUAAGGGAAGAACAAGUGCAGUAGUAACUGGCUGCACCUUGACGGUACCUUACUAGAAAGCCACGGCUAACUA